CAGUCGAACGGACUUUUCAUGAAGCCUAGCGAUUGAAAAGUUAGUGGCGGACGGGUGAGUAACGCGUGGGUAACCUGCCUUGUACUGGGGGACAACAGUUGGAAACGACUGCUAAUACCGCAUAAGCGCACAGCUUCGCAUGAAGCAGUGUGAAAAACUCCGGUGGUACAAGAUGGACCCGCGUCUGAUUAGCUGGUUGGUGAGGUAACGGCCCACCGAGGCAACGAUCAGUAGCCGGCCUGAGAGGGUGAACGGCCACAUUGGGACUGAGACACGGCCCAAACUCCUACGGGAGGCAGCAGUGGGGAAUAUUGCACAAUGGGGGAAACCCUGAUGCAGCAACGCCGCGUGAGUGAAGAAGUAUUUCGGUAUGUAAAGCUCUAUCAGCAGGAAAGAAAAUGACGGUACCUGACUAAGAAGCCCCGGCUAACUACGUGCCAGUAGCCGCGGUAAUACGUAGGGGGCAAGCGUUAUCCGGAUUUACUGGGUGUAAAGGGAGCGUAGACGGUUUUGCAAGUCUGAAGUGAAAGCCCGGGGCUUAACCCCGGGACUGCUUUGGAAACUGUAGAACUAGAGUGCAGGAGAGGUAAGUGGAAUUCCUAGUGUAGCGGUGAAAUGCGUAGAUAUUAGGAGGAACACCAGUGGCGAAGGCGGCUUACUGGACUGUAACUGACGUUGAGGCUCGAAAGCGUGGGGAGC
This 699-nucleotide ribosomal RNA is filed under the name uncultured bacterium. RNAcentral describes it as "bacterial SSU rRNA". It matches the Rfam family "Bacterial small subunit ribosomal RNA", at positions 59 to 769 of the family's 1533-position model. The record is from RNAcentral.